CUACGUGCCAGCAGCCGCGGUAAUACGGAGGGUGCGAGCGUUAAUCGGAAUAGCUGGGCGUAAAGGGCACGCAGGCGGUGACUUAAGUGAGGUGUGAAAGCCCCGGGCUUAACCUGGGAAUUGCAUUUCAUACUGGGUCGCUAGAGUACUUUAGGGAGGGGUAGAAUUCCACGUGUAGCGGUGAAAUGCGUAGAGAUGUGGAGGAAUACCGAAGGCGAAGGCAGCCCCUUGGGAAUGUACUGACGCUCAUGUGCGAAAGCGUGGGGAGCAAACAGGAUUAGAUACCCUGGUAGUCCACGCUGUAAACGAUGUCGAUUUGGGGGUUGAGCUUUAAGCUUGGCGCCCGUAGCUAACGUGAUAAAUCGACCGCCUGGGGAGUACGGCCGCAAGGUUAAAACUCAAAUGAAUUGACGGGGGCCCGCACAAGCGGUGGAGCAUGUGGUUUAAUUCGAUGCAACGCGAAGAACCUUACC
RNAcentral lists this ribosomal RNA (473 nucleotides) under uncultured bacterium. RNAcentral's name for it is "bacterial SSU rRNA". It matches the Rfam family "Bacterial small subunit ribosomal RNA", at positions 501 to 975 of the family's 1533-position model. The record is from RNAcentral.